This is a non-coding RNA of Acanthosepion pharaonis, 114 nucleotides long. NCBI's taxonomy places the organism in Eukaryota, Metazoa, Mollusca, Cephalopoda, Sepiida, Sepiidae. The record is from the annotation of a GenBank genome assembly.
UUACGGCCAUAUCACGUUGAAACACCGAUUCUCGGACGAUCACCAAAGUUAAGCAACGCCAGGCCUGAUAUUUCCCAAGAUGGGUGACCGCUUGGGAAUACCAGGUAUUGUAAG